RNAcentral lists this ribosomal RNA (544 nucleotides) under Rhynchotermes bulbinasus. RNAcentral's name for it is "partial 16S ribosomal RNA". It matches the Rfam family "Bacterial large subunit ribosomal RNA", at positions 1796 to 2610 of the family's 2925-position model. Lineage: Eukaryota; Metazoa; Arthropoda; Insecta; Blattodea; Termitidae. The record is from RNAcentral.
UCGCCUGUUUUACAAAAACAUCUUUUCUUGUUAGUUUUUGAAGUAUGGCCUGCCCACUGACAUUUGAGUUGAAGGGCCGCGGUAUUUUGACCGUGCAAAGGUAGCAUAAUCAUUAGUUCUUUAAUUGUGAUCUGGUAUGAAUGGCUUGACGAGAUAUAAACUGUCUUAAAGGUAUUUAUUGAAAUUGGGGUUUGAGUUAAAAUUCUUAAAUGUUUUUAUGGGACGAGAAGACCCUAUAGAGUUUGACAUUCAUUUUUCUAUAUUUUAGUUUGUUUUUGUUUAUUAGUUGAGUGAGUGUUUUGUUGGGGUGAUGGGAGGAAUUUUUUUAACUCCUCUUUAUUUUUAUAUAUUUAUAUAUAUUUGUUUGAUCCAUUUAUUUUGAUUAUAAGAUUAAAUUACCUUAGGGAUAACAGCGUUAUCUUCCCUGAGAGUUCUUAUUGGCGGGGAGGUUUGCGACCUCGAUGUUGGAUUAAGGUGAAUUUUCGGUGCAGAAGCUGAAAUUGAUUAGGUCUGUUCGACCUUUAAAAUCUUACGUGAUCUGAGU